Molecule: ribosomal RNA, 254 nt
Filed under: uncultured bacterium
Lineage: Bacteria
Description: partial 16S ribosomal RNA
Rfam family: Bacterial small subunit ribosomal RNA
Source: RNAcentral
UACAGAGGGUGCAAGCGUUAAUCGGAAUGACUGGGCGUAAAGGGCGCGUAGGCGGUAGAUUAAGCUGGAGGUGAAAAGCCUGGGCUCAACCUGGGACCAGCCUCCAGGACUGAUGUGCUAGAGUAGGGUAGAGGGAAGUGGAAUUUCCGGUGUAGCGGUGAAAUGCGUAGAGACCGGGAAGAACACCAGUGGCGAAGGCGGCUACCUGGACAGGUACUGACGCUAACAGCGCGAAAGCUAGGGGAGCAAACAGG